CAGGCCUAACACAUGCAAGUCGKUCGGYGYYKYYYUCUCUAGUGGCGCACGGGUGCUAACACGUAUGCAACCUACCUUAUACUGGGGGAUAGCCUUUGGAAACGGAGAUUAAUACCCCAUAGUACAUUUGAUUGGCAUCAAUUAAAUGUUAAAGAUUUAUCGGUAUAAGCUGGGCAUGCGUCCAAUUAGUUAGUUGGUGAGGUAAUGGCUCACCAAGACUUUGAUUGGUAGGGGAACUGAGAGGUUAAUCCCCCACACUGGCACUGAGAUACGGGCCAGACUCCUACGGGAGGCAGCAGUAGGGAAUAUUGGGCAAUGGAGGCAACUCUGACCCAGCCAUGCCGCGUGCAGGAAGAAGGCGUUAUGCGUUGUAAACUGCUUUUAUAUAGGAAGAAAUAGUCCUUGCGAGGAAAGUUGACGGUACUAUAUGAAUAAGCACCGGCUAACUCCGUGCCAGCAGCCGCGGUAAUACGGAGGGUGCAAGCGUUGUCCGGAUUUAUUGGGUUUAAAGGGUGCGUAGGCGGUUUAUUAAGUCAGUGGUGAAAGACGGUCGCUCAACGAUUGCAGUGCCAUUGAUACUGGUAGACUUGAGUGGGAUUGAGGUAGCUGGAAUGGAUAGUGUAGCGGUGAAAUGCAUAGAUAUUAUCCAGAACACCAAUUGCGUAGGCAAGUUACUAAGUCUCAACUGACGCUGAGGCACGAAAGUGUGGGGUAUCAAACAGGAUUAGAUACCCUGGUAGUCCACACUGUAAACGAUGAUAACUAACUGUUGGCUUUCGGGUCAGUGGUACAGAGAAAUCGUUAAGUUAUCCACCUGGGGAGUACGCCGGCAACGUGGAAACUCAAAAGGAAUUGACGGGGGUCCGCACAAGGCUGGAGCAUGUGGUUUAAUUCGAUGAUACGCGAGGAACCUUACCUAGGCUAGAAUGUGAGGAAUGUAUCAGAAAUGGUGCAGUCAGCAAUGACCUGAAACAGGUGCUGCAUGCUGUCGUCACUCGUGCCGUGAGUGUUUGGGUAAGUCCCGCACGA
RNAcentral lists this ribosomal RNA (1029 nucleotides) under uncultured Bacteroidota bacterium. Its description in RNAcentral is "bacterial SSU rRNA". It matches the Rfam family "Bacterial small subunit ribosomal RNA", at positions 43 to 1095 of the family's 1533-position model. The record is from RNAcentral. Lineage: Bacteria; Pseudomonadati; Bacteroidota.